Oncorhynchus masou masou (cherry salmon) is the source of this 2278-nucleotide RNA transcript. It is a transcript of the gene named caytaxin-like, with no coding region annotated. NCBI's taxonomy places the organism in Eukaryota, Metazoa, Chordata, Actinopteri, Salmoniformes, Salmonidae. The transcript has 9 exons. The record is from RefSeq and is a predicted model, not a curated record.
AUGCGUAAGCGCCGUACUCUGGUAGCUCCGGACAUGAACGUGUCAUUGGACCAGAGCGAGGGUUCCGUCCUGUCAGAUGACUUCUUAGGUAACCCUGACGACCUGGAUGUCAACGUGGACGACAUGGACACGCCCGACGACAACGACUCCUUGGAGUUUAUCACCAACGGCAACGACCUGGAGUGGGAAGACGACACUCCUAUAGUGAGUUCCAAGGGUCUGCCUGGGGGCCAGACAGAGGAGGAGGAGGAGGCAGGCAGACUGUGGAGGACAGUGACCAUAGGAGACCAGGAACAGAGGAUAGACAUGGCUGUUAUCAGACCAUACCUGAGGGUGGUCACACAUGGAGGUUACUACGGUGAGGGUCUGAAUGCCAUCAUAGUGUUUGCGGCGUGUUACCUGCCAGAGAGCAGCUGUGAGGACUACACUUACAUCAUGGAGAACCUCUUCCUCUAUGUGAUCAGUAGCCUGGAGUUGUUAGUGGCUGAGGACUACAUGAUUAUCUAUCUGAACGGAGCUACGCCUCGCAGGAGGAUGCCUGGUAUCAGCUGGCUAAAGAGGUGCUACCACACCAUCAACAGGAGAUUGAAGAAGAAUCUGAAGUGGCUGGUCAUUGCUCACCCAUCCUGGUUCAUCCGUACAAUCCUGGCCAUCUCCAGACCCUUCAUCAGUGUGAAGUUCCUGGAUAAGAUCCGCUAUGUUCACACAUUGGAUGAGUUGAGCCAGCUGAUUCCUAUGGACCACAUACAGAUCCCAGAAUGUGUCCUGCAAUAUGAUGACCAGAAGAUGAUAGCACAAAAAGAAAGGUAACAGAGACAUGUUUUAUGUGGCAGGAGAUGGAGCAUACCAAGUCUGCACCCCCCACGGAAAGGUAAAACAAGAAUCCACAACCCUGCUGAGGAUUCAUGAGGAUACUGUCUAUCAAUAUAGGGGAAAAGACUUCUUGGCUGAAGAUAAAGGACUGAUGGAGAAAUGAUGAGGACUGGUGUGUGGGUGAAGAGGGCUCCUGACAUUACAUCAACAUCAUCCUACCUUGUCUUACUUUCCACACAGCAGAUAGCCUGGUCUGUCUGUCCCAUGGAAUAAAUCUACCCUGGCAGAUAGCCUGACCUCUUUCCGUUUGGAAUAAACCUACCCUGGCAGAUAGCCUGACCUCUUUCCGAUUGGAAUAAAUCUACCCUGGCAGAUACCCUGACCUCUGUCCCAUGGAAUAAACCUACCCUGGCAGAUACCCUGACCUCUGUCCCAUGGAAUAAACCUACCCUGGCACAUACCCUGACCUCUGUCCCAUGGAAUAAACCUACCCCGGCAGAUAGCCUCGCUUCCACUCACCAUUUCUUCUUGCAUGGAUCAAUCAGCUGUGAUCUAGCCUGCUGCAUGAUGAACAUGCAUUGGGCUGAUGCAAGAUGGCUGGAUGAACUCUGUUAAAUGUGUUUAUUUCCUUCGAAGGGACAAGAACAGGCUUUAGUUGGUACAAGCCAGAUGUACAUAGUUGUAAUAACAUUGUAAUAAUGUAAUAACAUUGUAAUAAUGUAAUGUAAUAACAUUGUAAUAAUGUAAUGUAUUAACGUUGCUGUAAUACAAGUAUGAAGGUAUAUGUGUGCAACAAGCAAUAUGUUUGAUAUAAAUGUUAUCUUUUUUUCUUCAAUGUAUAAAUGCUAUUGUUUUUAAAUAAUGUGCAAUAUAAGCAGUUCCUCUUCUGAACUGACCAAAUUAAUUCAGAGGUUGUUACUACUGUAACGAAUGAAAUAUGUUUUAGUUUUCUCUAUUGCUCCUCUGUGUGUUGUUGUGUUUUCUGAAGGUUACUAGACAGAUGGCAUGCUGGUUAAAAUGUUCUUCCUCGUCAUCUGGGAUAUUUAAAAAAAACUAGCCUCAGUAAAAAACUAGCCUGGGUACCAAUCUGUUUCUGUUAUCAUUUCACGCCUCGCCACUUCUUGUCAUGCCAUGUUUGGAGUGGCAAGGAAUGGAAUGAUAGUACAGACUGGUACACAGGACAGAUCAAAACAUUACUGAUGAUCUUAGUUUCCUGGUUUAUUGAUGAUCUGUCUCAAUUCCUCUAUUUCCAUGUAGAGAUCUUACUUUACAUUUAUCUAUUGUUACACCUAUGAUGCAAUGCAUUUAAAUAACAUAAUUAACUGUUUAAAUUAUGUGAACUUAUAUAUAUUAGUGUGUGCUGUUCAUUGUUUGUAAUACAAUUUUGUUGGAAAAAUCCAAUUAAGAUACUCCAGUUCUUACUAUCAAACAGCCUCUCCAUAUUAUUUGACCUAUUAAAGUGUGA